AGAGUUUGAUCAUGGCUCAGGACGAACGCUGGCGGCGUGCUUAACACAUGCAAGUCGUACGAGAACGAGAUAGCAAUAUCUCUAGUAAAGUGGCGCACGGGUGAGUAACACGUAAGUAACCUGCCUUUAGGUUUGGGAUAACCUCGAGAAAUCGAAGCUAAUACCGGAUGAUGCAGCGGAUCCGCAUGGAUAUGUUGUUAAAAUCUAUAUGGUGCCUAUAGAUGGGCUUGCGUCCGAUUAGCUAGUUGGUAAGGUAAUGGCUUACCAAGGCUACGAUCGGUAGCUGGUCUGAGAGGAUGAUCAGCCACACUGGAACUGAGACACGGUCCAGACUCCUACGGGAGGCAGCAGUGAGGAAUAUUGGGCAAUGCCCGGAAGGGUGACCCAGCAACGCCGCGUGGAGGAUGAAUGCCGUAAGGUUGUAAACUCCUGUUAGAGGGGAAGAACAAUUUCGAUCGAAUCGGAACUUGACUGUACCCUCAGAGAAAGCCCCGGCUAACUACGUGCCAGCAGCCGCGGUAAUACGUAGGGGGCUAGCGUUGUCCGGAUUUACUGGGUGUAAAGGGCGCGCAGGUGGGUUUGCAAGUCAGAGGUGAAAUCUCACGGCUUAACCGUGAAACUGCCUUUGAUACUGUAGAUCUUGAGUGCGGAAGAGAGAGACGGAAUUCCAGGUGUAGUGGUGAAAUACGUAGAUAUCUGGAAGAACACCAGUUGCGAAGGCGGUCUCUUGGUCCGACACUGACACUCAGGCGCGAAAGCGUGGGGAGCAAACAGGAUUAGAUACCCUAGUAGUCC
This 795-nucleotide ribosomal RNA is filed under the name uncultured bacterium. RNAcentral describes it as "bacterial SSU rRNA". It matches the Rfam family "Bacterial small subunit ribosomal RNA", at positions 8 to 796 of the family's 1533-position model. The record is from RNAcentral.